AAAUUUAUUACUCAAGUAUUUAUAUUUAUCUUUGAUUUGUUAGGAUUAGAUGGUAGUUUGUUAUGAUUAUAGUUAUCCACAAAACUAGAAUUCUUGC
This is a long non-coding RNA of Ipomoea nil (Japanese morning glory), 97 nucleotides long. RefSeq lists it as uncharacterized. NCBI's taxonomy places the organism in Eukaryota, Viridiplantae, Streptophyta, Magnoliopsida, Solanales, Convolvulaceae. The transcript has 3 exons. The record is from RefSeq and is a predicted model, not a curated record.